CCUACGGGAGGCAGCAGUAAGGAAUAUUGGACAAUGCUCGCAAGAGUGAUCCAGCCAUGCCGCGUGCAGGAAGACGGCCCUAUGGGUUGUAAACUGCUUUUGAACUGGAGAAAACCCCCCUUCGUGAAGGGGGCUGAUAGUAUAGUUAGAAUAAGCAUCGGCUAACUUCGUGCCAGCAGCCGCGGUAAGACGAAGGAUGCAAGCGUUAUCCGGAUUCAUUGGGUUUAAAGGGAGCGUAGGUGGAUUUGUAAGUCAGUGGUGAAAGCCGGCAGCUUAACUGUCGAACUGCCAUUGAUACUGCGGAUCUUGAGUAUGGUUGCUGUGGGCGGAAUAUGACAUGUAGAGGUGAAAUUCAUAGAGAUGUCAUAGAACACCGAUUGCGAAGGCAGCUCACAAAGCCAUUACUGACACUGAGGCUCGAAAGUGCGGGGAUCAAACAGGAUUAGAUACCCUGGUAGUCCGCACUGUAAACGAUGAUUACUCGCUGCUAGGAGGUAACUUUUAGUGGCUAAGCGAAAGCGAUAAGUAAUCCACCUGGGGAGUACGCCGGCAACGGUGAAACUCAAAUGAAUUGACGG
RNAcentral lists this ribosomal RNA (578 nucleotides) under uncultured bacterium. RNAcentral's name for it is "bacterial SSU rRNA". It matches the Rfam family "Bacterial small subunit ribosomal RNA", at positions 338 to 916 of the family's 1533-position model. The record is from RNAcentral.